AUUGGAAGUAAAAGUCGUAACAAGGUUUCCGUAGGUGAACCUGCGGAAGGAUCAUUAACGAGUUAGGGUCUUCCAGGCCCGAUCUCCAACCCUUUGUAUAACUACCAUGUUGCUUUGGCGGGCCCGUCUUUCACCGGACCGCCGAGGGUCUUUUGACCUUUGGCCAGUGCUCGUCAGUAGCCUUAACAAACUCUUUUUAACCAUGUUAAAUCUGAAUAAUAGUUAAAUAAACUAAAACUUUCAACAACGGAUCUCUUGGUUCUGGCAUCGAUGAAGAACGCAGCGAAAUGCGAUAAGUAGUGUGAAUUGCAGAAUUCAGUGAAUCAUCGAAUCUUUGAACGCACAUUGCGCCUCCUGGUAUUCCGGGAGGCAUGCCUGUUCGAGCGUCAUUAAAAACCACUCGGGCCAUUUCAUAAUGGCUUGGUAUUGGGAGAGGAGUGCACCCGUUGCCCUCCCUUCCGAAAUGCAAUGGCGGAAAGCCCCACGUGCCCCGGCGUAGUAAGUCUUUCUUUCGCUCGGAACGUUGGGUGAUCCUGCCGUCAAACCCCCAAUUCUUUUACAGGUUGACCUCGGAUCAGGUAGGGAUACCCGCUGAACUUAAGCAUAUCAAUAAGCGGAGGAAAUC
This 625-nucleotide ribosomal RNA is filed under the name uncultured Cladophialophora. Its description in RNAcentral is "eukaryotic LSU rRNA". The stretch from base 236 to 389 matches the Rfam family "5.8S ribosomal RNA". Lineage: Eukaryota; Fungi; Ascomycota; Eurotiomycetes; Chaetothyriales; Herpotrichiellaceae. The record is from RNAcentral.